UCGUGUUGAUUGUUAAUUAUAGUAAUGUAUAUUAAUGUGAACAUAUCAUACAUUACUACUAUAGUUCGUGGUUAUUAUCGGCUGUCAAAUACAUAUAAAGCAAAAUAGUUUCUUUAACAUUUCAGUUACGUACUUACAUAAAAAUGAUUAAAAUUUCACUAGUAAUUUUUGCUACUGCAAUUGCAAGUAUAGCAGCAAGUUGUAUUCCUAAAAACUGUACAGGAAUUUAUAAUUGUCCUAAAUCUGAACCAUGUACAUCAACUUCUCAAAUUUUUUACGAUGGUUGUUGUAAAAUUUGUGUAAAAGAUUGUAACGCAUAUUGCAACAAGACUGUAUGUCCUGUUUAUGUUUGGUGUCCCAAUCCUCAUAAAGGCGGAGUAUGUAAUUGUUGUACUUUAUGCAAUUAAAUAAAAUUCAUCCAUUUACAAUAUAUAAAUAAACUAUAUUUCUCAUA
Aethina tumida (small hive beetle) is the source of this 454-nucleotide long non-coding RNA. RefSeq lists it as uncharacterized. NCBI's taxonomy places the organism in Eukaryota, Metazoa, Arthropoda, Insecta, Coleoptera, Nitidulidae. The record is from RefSeq and is a predicted model, not a curated record. The transcript is spliced from 2 exons.